This 165-nucleotide small RNA is filed under the name pig gut metagenome. RNAcentral's name for it is "Bacteroidales-1 6S-Bacteroidales RNA suggested". It matches the Rfam family "Bacteroidales-1 6S-Bacteroidales RNA suggested". The record is from RNAcentral.
GCUGCACUGGUUUGAUUGGGAUACUCAUCAAAUAAAUAAUUGAAACCGAGGAAAGUUUACCUGCCGAUGGCGUGCCACAUCUGCAAAGUAACUGGAUUACAAAGGCAGGCGACACCUCAAAUCCUGUUUUAAAGGAGUUUCAUCACAUCACCAGUGCAGCCAUUU